AUUCCAGACUCCUACGGGAGGCAGCAGUGGGGAAUAUUGCACAAUGGGGGGAACCCUGAUGCAGCGACGCCGCGUGGGUGAAGGAGCACCUCGGUGCGUAAAGCCCUAUCGGCAGGGAAGAAAAGCGAACAGGUUCGCCUGGACGGUACCUGACUAAGAAGCCCCGGCUAACUACGUGCCAGCAGCCGCGGGAAUACGUAGGGGGCAAGCGUUAUCCGGAUUCACUGGGUGUAAAGGGAGCGUAGACGGCGACGCAAGUCUGGAGUGAAAGCCCGGGGCCCAACCCCGGGACUGCAUUGGGAACUGGCGCGCUGGAGUGCCGGAGGGGUAGGCGGAAUUCCUAGUGUAGCGGUGAAAUGCGUAGAUAUUAGGAGGAACACCAGUGGCGAAGGCGGCCUACUGGACGGUGACUGACGCUGAGGCUCGAAAGCGUGGGGAGCAAACAGGAUUAGAUACCCGAGUA
Molecule: ribosomal RNA, 463 nt
Filed under: uncultured bacterium
Lineage: Bacteria
Description: bacterial SSU rRNA
Rfam family: Bacterial small subunit ribosomal RNA
Source: RNAcentral